GUGGGGAAUAUUGGACAAUGGGCGAAAGCCUGAUCCAGCCAUGCCGCGUGUGUGAAGAAGGUCUUCGGAUUGUAAAGCACUUUAAGUUGGGAGGAAGGGCAGUAAGUUAAUACCUUGCUGUUUUGACGUUACCGACAGAAUAAGCACCGGCUAACUUCGUGCCAGCAGCCGCGGUAAUACGAAGGGUGCAAGCGUUAAUCGGAAUUACUGGGCGUAAAGCGCGCGUAGGUGGUUUUGUAAGUUGGAUGUGAAAUCCCCGGGCUCAACCUGGGAACUGCCUCCAAAACUGCAUGACUAGAGUACGGUAGAGGGUAGUGGAAUUUCCUGUGUAGCGGUGAAAUGCGUAGAUAUAGGAAGGAACACCAGUGGCGAAGGCGACUACCUGGACUGAUACUGACACUGAGGUGCGAAAGCGUGGGGAGCAAACAGGAUUAGAAACCCCGGUAGUCC
This 450-nucleotide ribosomal RNA is filed under the name uncultured bacterium. RNAcentral's name for it is "bacterial SSU rRNA". It matches the Rfam family "Bacterial small subunit ribosomal RNA", at positions 354 to 796 of the family's 1533-position model. The record is from RNAcentral.